RNAcentral lists this ribosomal RNA (253 nucleotides) under uncultured bacterium. Its description in RNAcentral is "partial 16S ribosomal RNA". It matches the Rfam family "Bacterial small subunit ribosomal RNA", at positions 524 to 776 of the family's 1533-position model. The record is from RNAcentral.
UACGUAGGGGGCAAGCGUUGUCCGGAUUUAUUGGGCGUAAAGAGCGUGUAGGCGGCCAUACAGGUCAGCUGUGAAAACUCGAGGCUCAACCUCGAGACGUCGGUUGAAACCGUAUGGCUAGAGUCCAGAAGAGGAGAGUGGAAUUCCCGGUGUAGCGGUGAAAUGCGCAGAUAUCGGGAAGAACACCCGUGGCGAAGGCGGCUCUCUGGGACGGUACUGACGCUGAGACGCGAAAGCGUGGGGAGCGAACAGG